This 601-nucleotide ribosomal RNA is filed under the name cf. Alternaria sp. ATCAJ-8. RNAcentral's name for it is "eukaryotic LSU rRNA". The stretch from base 234 to 387 matches the Rfam family "5.8S ribosomal RNA". Lineage: Eukaryota; Fungi; Ascomycota; Dothideomycetes; Pleosporales; Pleosporaceae. The record is from RNAcentral.
UUGGUCCAUUUAGAGGAAGUAAAAGUCGUAACAAGGUCUCCGUAGGUGAACCUGCGGAGGGAUCAUUACACAAAUAUGAAGGCGGGCUGGAACCUCUCGGGGUUACAGCCUUGCUGAAUUAUUCACCCUUGUCUUUUGCGUACUUCUUGUUUCCUUGGUGGGUUCGCCCACCACUAGGACAAACAUAAACCUUUUGUAAUUGCAAUCAGCGUCAGUAACAAAUUAAUAAUUACAACUUUCAACAACGGAUCUCUUGGUUCUGGCAUCGAUGAAGAACGCAGCGAAAUGCGAUAAGUAGUGUGAAUUGCAGAAUUCAGUGAAUCAUCGAAUCUUUGAACGCACAUUGCGCCCUUUGGUAUUCCAAAGGGCAUGCCUGUUCGAGCGUCAUUUGUACCCUCAAGCUUUGCUUGGUGUUGGGCGUCUUGUCUCUAGCUUUGCUGGAGACUCGCCUUAAAGUAAUUGGCAGCCGGCCUACUGGUUUCGGAGCGCAGCACAAGUCGCACUCUCUAUCAGCAAAGGUCUAGCAUCCAUUAAGCCUUUUUUUCAACUUUUGACCUCGGAUCAGGUAGGGAUACCCGCUGAACUUAAGCAUAUCAAUAAG